GGGAGUGUGGCUUAGUGAUAGAGUGCUUGCCUGGCAUGCAUGAAGCCCUAGGUUCCAUUCCUCACUACCU
Non-coding RNA from Dipodomys ordii (Ord's kangaroo rat), 70 nucleotides. Lineage: Eukaryota; Metazoa; Chordata; Mammalia; Rodentia; Heteromyidae. The record is from Rfam.